This 808-nucleotide ribosomal RNA is filed under the name Staphylococcus warneri. RNAcentral's name for it is "bacterial SSU rRNA". It matches the Rfam family "Bacterial small subunit ribosomal RNA", at positions 57 to 847 of the family's 1533-position model. Lineage: Bacteria; Bacillati; Bacillota; Bacilli; Caryophanales; Staphylococcaceae. The record is from RNAcentral.
GCAGUCGAGCGAACAGAUAGGAGCUUGCUCCUUUGACGUUAGCGGCGGACGGGUGAGUAACACGUGGAUAACCUACCUAUAAGACUGGGAUAACUUCGGGAAACCGGAGCUAAUACCGGAUAACAUAUUGAACCGCAUGGUUCAAUAGUGAAAGGCGGCUUUGCUGUCACUUAUAGAUGGAUCCGCGCCGUAUUAGCUAGUUGGUAAGGUAACGGCUUACCAAGGCAACGAUACGUAGCCGACCUGAGAGGGUGAUCGGCCACACUGGAACUGAGACACGGUCCAGACUCCUACGGGAGGCAGCAGUAGGGAAUCUUCCGCAAUGGGCGAAAGCCUGACGGAGCAACGCCGCGUGAGUGAUGAAGGUCUUCGGAUCGUAAAACUCUGUUAUCAGGGAAGAACAAAUGUGUAAGUAACUGUGCACAUCUUGACGGUACCUGAUCAGAAAGCCACGGCUAACUACGUGCCAGCAGCCGCGGUAAUACGUAGGUGGCAAGCGUUAUCCGGAAUUAUUGGGCGUAAAGCGCGCGUAGGCGGUUUUUUAAGUCUGAUGUGAAAGCCCACGGCUCAACCGUGGAGGGUCAUUGGAAACUGGAAAACUUGAGUGCAGAAGAGGAAAGUGGAAUUCCAUGUGUAGCGGUGAAAUGCGCAGAGAUAUGGAGGAACACCAGUGGCGAAGGCGACUUUCUGGUCUGUAACUGACGCUGAUGUGCGAAAGCGUGGGGAUCAAACAGGAUUAGAUACCCUGGUAGUCCACGCCGUAAACGAUGAGUGCUAAGUGUUAAGGGGGUUUCCGCCCCUUAGUGCU